CGGGGUAUAGCGAAGCCUGGUUAUCGCGCCUGCUUUGGGAGCAGGAGGUCGCUGGUUCGAAUCCAGCUACCCCGA
RNAcentral lists this transfer RNA (75 nucleotides) under Bacteroidota bacterium. RNAcentral describes it as "tRNA-Pro". It matches the Rfam family "tRNA". Rfam says of the family: Transfer RNA (tRNA) molecules are approximately 80 nucleotides in length. Their secondary structure includes four short double-helical elements and three loops (D, anti-codon, and T loops). Lineage: Bacteria; Pseudomonadati; Bacteroidota. The record is from RNAcentral.